AGAGUCCGUAGUUGUGGAUACAAUGAAAAGGUGAUGAUCAAGAACACUCAGUUUGUUAGUCGUGGCAGAGUGGACAGGGAAUACAGUAUAGGCUGGCGAAGAAUGAAAUCUCAAAACCCAGCUUGGACUAACGAAGGCGAAGGCAGUAUUCUUGUACAGAUCUGAGGAUCAAGGACGAAGGCUAGAGGAUCGAAGGUGAUUAGAGACCACUGUAGUUCUAGCAGUAAACUAUGCCAACAUUCUCUAUCAGUGAGAUGGGGAAGGGAGAAAUCUUAGUUUUUGGGCCACGGGGAUAGUACGUUCGCAAGGAAGAAACUUAAACUGAGAUGGAC
RNAcentral lists this ribosomal RNA (332 nucleotides) under Paranucleospora theridion. RNAcentral describes it as "SSU rRNA". It matches the Rfam family "Microsporidia small subunit ribosomal RNA", at positions 449 to 791 of the family's 1311-position model. The record is from RNAcentral. Lineage: Eukaryota; Fungi; Microsporidia; Enterocytozoonidae.